UACGAAGGGGGCUAGCGUUGUUCGGAAUUACUGGGCGUAAAGCGAGCGUAGGUUGCUCGGCAAGUCAGUGGUGAAAUCCCAGAGCUCAACUUUGGAACUGCCAUUGAAACUGCCGAGCUGGAAUCUCAGAGGGGAUAGCGGAAUUCCAAAUGUAGGGGUGAAAUCCGUAGAUAUUUGGAGGAACACCGGUGGCGAAGGCGGCUAUCUGGAUGAGUAUUGACACUGAGGCUCGAAAGCGUGGGGAUCAAACAGG
Molecule: ribosomal RNA, 253 nt
Filed under: uncultured bacterium
Lineage: Bacteria
Description: partial 16S ribosomal RNA
Rfam family: Bacterial small subunit ribosomal RNA
Source: RNAcentral